UCUUUCACUCUGUAAUAACAGAGAAUUAUUUUUGGCUUCAUCUUCAUUUUGGGAUCAGUCUGACCUCUAUUCUCUCAAAAUUGCAAACUUGUGUGCUUAUUUUGGAUGAUUUCAUGCAACAAAUCUGAAGAGUUUGACCAAGAUCUCCAUAUGAACUUUUUGGGAAGACUGGACAAGACUGAGAACUCAUUUUUUCUGUUUUCUUUUGGCCAUUUUUGUCUUAAGUUUCUGAUCCAUCUUUGUCUCUGUCGUAAUGUAUUGGAAAUGGCUUCCAACAUUCAAAUUUCAAAAGGCCAUUCUUAUUUUAACUCCCCCCAAAUCCCACCCAAAAUUUGAAGAAAUAAGGCUUUCAUUUGUCAAUAUAAAAAUGAGUCUUUGCAGUUAUUUUUAACCAUGCAUUACUGCCUCUAUAAUACCUUAAACCACUAUUUUUUUU
This 436-nucleotide long non-coding RNA is filed under the name Solanum tuberosum (potato). RNAcentral's name for it is "long non-coding RNA (STUB_LNC002542)". Lineage: Eukaryota; Viridiplantae; Streptophyta; Magnoliopsida; Solanales; Solanaceae. The record is from RNAcentral.